Molecule: ribosomal RNA, 447 nt
Filed under: uncultured bacterium
Lineage: Bacteria
Description: bacterial SSU rRNA
Rfam family: Bacterial small subunit ribosomal RNA
Source: RNAcentral
UGGGGAAUCUUGGACAAUGGGCGCAAGCCUGAUCCAGCCAUGCCGCGUGAGUGACGAAGGCCUUAGGGUUGUAAAGCUCUUUUGGCGGGGACGAUAAUGACGGUACCCGCAGAAUAAGCCCCGGCUAACUUCGUGCCAGCAGCCGCGGUAAUACGAAGGGGGCUAGCGUUGUUCGGAAUUACUGGGCGUAAAGCGCACGUAGGCGGAUUUGUCAGUCAGGGGUGAAAUCCCGAGGCUCAACCUCGGAACUGCCUUUGAUACUGGCAAUCUAGAGUCCGGAAGAGGUUAGUGGAAUUCCCAGUGUAGAGGUGAAAUUCGUAGAUAUUGGGAAGAACACCAGUGGCGAAGGCGGCUAACUGGUCCGGUACUGACGCUGAGGUGCGAAAGCGUGGGGAGCAAACAGGAUUAGAUACCCAAGUAGUCCCUGAGCGGGCUGGCAAGGCGCAU